CAAUAGCGUAUAUUAAAGUUGUUGCAGUUAAAAAGCUCGUAGUUGGAUUUCGGGGCAGCCUGGCUGGUCCGCCGCAAGGCGAGUACUGGUCAGCCGCCCUUCCUCUCGAAAGCCCCGACUGCUCUUCGUUGCAGUGGUCGGGUAGUUCGGGACGUUUACUUUGAGAAAAUUAGAGUGUUCAAGGCAGGCCUACGCCUGAAUACAUUAGCAUGGAAUAAUGGAAGAGGACCUCGGUCCUAUUUUGUUGGUUUCCAGGGCCGAAGUAAUGAUUAAGAGGGACAGUUGGGGGCAUUCGUAUUUAAUUGUCAGAGGUGAAAUUCUCGGAUUUAUGAAAGACGAACAACUGCGAAAGCAUUUGCCAAGGAUGUUUUCAUUAA
Molecule: ribosomal RNA, 377 nt
Filed under: uncultured eukaryote
Lineage: Eukaryota
Description: partial 18S ribosomal RNA
Rfam family: Eukaryotic small subunit ribosomal RNA
Source: RNAcentral